UCUGCUAGUCUAAAUUUUGAUCCAAGCUAGUAUUAUCUGUAUAAUGCUUCUUUACUCUCUUUUUUGCCAAAUAUUCUCUGAAUUUUUGCCAUUUUCAGGGGAUUGCUUUGUUCCAGAACUGGUGAUUCUUUGCAGUUUGGCACUGAACUGAAGCAAAGUACUUUCAACAACAUUUCCAGCUGCUGCCUGGGCCUUACUGCUGCUUGUGGUGAGCUCAGGCUUGUCGGUGGCUAAGCAGCUUGGGCAACUGCAGGGCUGCCGGGCCAAACACAGCUAAGUGCUAGCUAACCUGCACAGAAGCUGAUCUGAUCAUCUAUAGUAUACUCUCUCGUGUCAUUUGGUAUAGUGGGGGAAAUUAUCUAAUGCCAGCUGCACCGUGCACAUCUCACAUGAACUCUGCAGAAAAUUUUAAUAAGCAGGUGGAAGAUACCCCAGUACCUGCACUCAACAGAAAGGGGUAGAAUAAUCCACUUAUGAAGAAGGAGUGACUUUAUUUAUGUUCUUUCGCUGGGUUAAUUUUUGCCAUAGACUGAUAGUAUUUCAAGCAGACACUAUUUGUUCCCUUGGCUACACACAUCCAGCUCCUCACACCAGACAAAGACGCACACUAGGUUCCUGAAACCAAACAAGUGGUCUAGCUAACAUGCACGGAAUCAAUUGUCAGAUGAUUAGUCUGGUCCGUGGAAACCAAACAACGCGUAUAGGAGCUGAGAAAAUCAAGCCCAUACAUACAUACUCAUCAAGAUGCACAUGUGGGUGCGUGGUAGGCUGCCGGAGCUACAAAAGUACAAAGUUAGCAAGUGUACUAUGGAGUGGAUUGUCUAGUGGCUGUCAGAUUGAUGCAUAUGUAUGCUUUAAAUGAUUGGUUAGUUGGCUGGCUGGCUGCUGGCCCGAUUUUCUGUUAGGAAUGCCGCCAUGCUUCCGUAGUUAGGACUUGGGAGCUAGCAGGACCUGGACUAUGCCAUGCCAGCAAGCAAGCAAGUACUCCUACUCUUAACUAAAGCAACUGUCUGGCCUGGGGCCAAACUAAAGGCCUCGGAGGAGAGACCACCAUUUGGAAGCAAGCAAGCAUCGAAUACUCUCUUCCUAGACUUUACCGGUCCCGGCCACACUGCCUUUGUUUGUCUCCCUCUCAUCUCGGUGACUUCGUCGUGAAGACGGGUCGACGAGGGAGGACCAGCUGUUGCUGAAAGCAAAAGCAAAGGCGGCCAGUAGUACAUAUUCCUCUGGACCUGGCAUGGUAUGCCAUCUUCCGCUCUAGAUUUGCGAGGAGAAACACCUGGGGGCUGCACUGCGGUUGAGUUCGAGUCGGAUGCCUGCCAAGAUUUGUAUUCCUUUUUCAUGUGAUUCUCGGUUGGGAUACGGCUGAUUUUUCUUAAAAGGAGUGGUUCUUAGUGGAAGAUGGUAAUAUGGAAAGAGAGAGCAUGACAGGCCUGAUACACGAUAAGCAUAAGACACAUUUCUAAGUGGAAACGGGAAAAAAUGGUGGCCGCAUGCAGCCGGGUCUCUGGCCUGGGACGGAGGGAACUCCGUUUACCACAAAGGUUUGGACGAGAAUGUUUCAAAGAUCACCACGCUCAGUCAUUUACCCUCCUGUCCGCUUCCGAUGCGUGAGUAGUAGAGUAAUUUAUUUCAAGACGAAGACGGCCGAACCGGUCAGGCCGUCAGGGGAUUAAACCAAGUGUCUAUCUACUCCUAGCUAGCUGGACUGGUUCGUGUGGACAGACGCACAGACUUGUCAAACCAACUCCGGUUCUCCGGGAAGUCAGUCAGUUCAGUCAGUCCUGGUGCUCCAUUGCGUAGGGUGCGCUCGAGUCCGGGGAAUAUAUACGGUGGGAGCGUGCGCAUCUUUGAAUCGUCGUACUAUUCCAGUGCGCGGUCGCUGUAAGAAAAGAGAGACCGUUGUUUUCAUCAGGCUUUCAGUACUCUCUCUCAGUCCAAAGAAGAAUGUAUCUGUAUGCGUCUAUACACUAAGUCAUGUCUAGAUACAUUUAAAUUUUGACAAACUUGA
Molecule: long non-coding RNA, 2011 nt
Organism: Brachypodium distachyon (stiff brome)
Lineage: Eukaryota; Viridiplantae; Streptophyta; Magnoliopsida; Poales; Poaceae
Exons: 2
Source: RefSeq, a predicted model, not a curated record